CCUACGGGUGGCUGCAGUUGGGAAUCUUGCACAAUGGGGGAAACCCUGAUGCAGCGACGCCGCGUGGAGGACGAAGGGUCUAGGCCUGUAAACUCCUUUUCUCAGGAAAGACUUAGGACGGUACCUGAGGAAUAAGCACCGGCUAACUACGUGCCAGCAGCCGCGGUGAGACGUAGGGUGCAAGCGUUGUCCGGAUUUACUGGGCGUAAAGCGCGCGUAGGCGGUCUGUUAAGUGUAGAGUGAAAGCUCCGGGCUCAACCCGGAAAUUGCUCUGCAUACUGGCAGACUUGAGGGAUGCAGAGGUUUGUGGAAUUCCUGGUGUAACGGUGAAAUGUGUUGAUAUCAGGAGGAACACCCAUGGCGAAGGCAGCAAACUGGGCAUCAUCUGACGCUGAGGCGCGAAAGCGUGGGUAGCAAACAGGAUUAGAUACCCUUGUAGUC
Molecule: ribosomal RNA, 441 nt
Filed under: Salmonella enterica subsp. enterica
Lineage: Bacteria; Pseudomonadati; Pseudomonadota; Gammaproteobacteria; Enterobacterales; Enterobacteriaceae
Description: bacterial SSU rRNA
Rfam family: Bacterial small subunit ribosomal RNA
Source: RNAcentral